This 437-nucleotide ribosomal RNA is filed under the name uncultured Pseudoflavonifractor sp. RNAcentral describes it as "partial 16S ribosomal RNA". It matches the Rfam family "Bacterial small subunit ribosomal RNA", at positions 341 to 792 of the family's 1533-position model. Lineage: Bacteria; Bacillati; Bacillota; Clostridia; Eubacteriales; Oscillospiraceae. The record is from RNAcentral.
ACGGGAGGCAGCAGUGGGGAAUAUUGGGCAAUGGGGGAAACCCUGACCCAGCAACGCCGCGUGAAGGAAGAAGGCCCUCGGGUUGUAAACUUCUUUUACCAGGGACGAAUAAAAUGACGGUACCUGGAGAAAAAGCAACGGCUAACUACGUGCCAGCAGCCGCGGUAAUACGUAGGUUGCAAGCGUUGUCCGGAUUUACUGGGUGUAAAGGGCGUGUAGGCGGAGCUGCAAGUCAGAUGUGAAAUCCCGGGGCUCAACCCCGGAACUGCAUUUGAAACUGUAGCCCUUGAGUAUCGGAGAGGCAAGCGGAAUUCCUAGUGUAGCGGUGAAAUGCGUAGAUAUUAGGAAGAACACCGGUGGCGAAGGCGACUUGCUGGACUGAGACUGACGCUGAGGCUCGAAAGCGUGGGGAGCAAACAGGAUUAGAUACCCUGGUA